UCCCUAGUGGUCCAGUGAUUAGGACUCAGCACUUUCACUGCCAAGGCCCUGGGUUCAAUCCCUGGUCAGGGAA
Transfer RNA from Ovis aries (sheep), 73 nucleotides. It matches the Rfam family "tRNA". Rfam says of the family: Transfer RNA (tRNA) molecules are approximately 80 nucleotides in length. Their secondary structure includes four short double-helical elements and three loops (D, anti-codon, and T loops). The record is from Rfam. NCBI's taxonomy places the organism in Eukaryota, Metazoa, Chordata, Mammalia, Artiodactyla, Bovidae.